UUGGGACACUGCUGGCCAAGAGAGAUUUCAGAGUCUUGGUGUUGCUUUUUACCGCGGUGCUGAUUGUUGUGUCCUUGUUUAUGAUGUAAAUUCAAUGAAGUCAUUUGAAAACUUGAACAACUGGAGAGAAGAGUUCUUAAUUCAGGCAAGCCCAUCUGAUCCAGAGAACUUCCCAUUUGUCGUGCUGGGGAACAAAGUUGAUGUUGAUGGUGGAAAUAGUAGAGUGGUGUCUGAGAAAAAGGCUCGGGCCUGGUGCGCUUCAAAGGGUAACAUUCCCUACUUUGAAACUUCAGCUAAGGAAGGAACCAACGUAGAGGAGGCUUUCCAAUGCAUUGCUAAAAAUGCCCUGAAGAGUGGAGAGGAGGAAGAAAUAUAUUUGCCCGAUACCAUUGAUGUUGCCGCUAGCAGUCAGCAGAGGACAGGUGGAUGUGAGUGUUAGACAGUUAACAAUUUUCCAAGUGAUGAUAAAUCUUGCAGCUCCAAAAAAAAUUGGAUUCCUUUAGCCCUCGCUUUUAUUGUUUGCUUCUCAUGGUGUUCUUUUUCUGGCAAAUUCUCAAGUUGUACCUGUAUAUGCUUUUGCACGGGGCAUCUGGUUGGUUUCUUGGUGCUUGAAUUCUGUUGGUACUACUUUCACUUUGACAAAACUUCAAGAUUUGUUGGAUUUGUAUUCGCCUCUCUGGUGAAAGCUCUUGCUUUACAAUAAUCUUCUCAGUUGAUUUGUUUUACCUCACAAACUAUGAGCUUCAG
RNAcentral lists this unclassified non-coding RNA (747 nucleotides) under Hevea brasiliensis (rubber tree). Lineage: Eukaryota; Viridiplantae; Streptophyta; Magnoliopsida; Malpighiales; Euphorbiaceae. The record is from RNAcentral.